GACGAACGCUGGCGGCGUGCUUGACACAUGCAAGUCGAACGGUGAAGCGCCUUCCUUUUUGGUGGGUGUGGAUGAGUGGCGAACGGGUGAGUAACACGUGAGUAACCUGCCCCCUUCUUCUGGAUAACCGCAUGAAAGUGUGGCUAAUACGGGAUAUUCUGGGUCUGUCGCAUGAUGGGUCUGGGAAAGAUAUUGUUUCGGUGGGGGAUGGGCUCGCGGCCUAUCAGCUUGUUGGUGGGGUGAUGGCCUACCAAGGCGGUGACGGGUAGCCGGCCUGAGAGGGUGGACGGUCACACUGGGACUGAGACACGGCCCAGACUCCUACGGGAGGCAGCAGUGGGGAAUAUUGCACAAUGGGCGCAAGCCUGAUGCAGCGACGCCGCGUGAGGGAUGGAGGCCUUCGGGUUGUGAACCUCUUUCGCCAGUGAAGCAGGCCUGCCUCGUUUGUGGGUGGGUUGACAGUAGCUGGAUAAGAAGCGCCGGCUAACUACGUG
Molecule: ribosomal RNA, 494 nt
Filed under: uncultured bacterium
Lineage: Bacteria
Description: partial 16S ribosomal RNA
Rfam family: Bacterial small subunit ribosomal RNA
Source: RNAcentral